Cyprinus carpio carpio is the source of this 936-nucleotide long non-coding RNA. The record is from Ensembl. NCBI's taxonomy places the organism in Eukaryota, Metazoa, Chordata, Actinopteri, Cypriniformes, Cyprinidae.
UUACAUUAUAUUCAUGCCUCAAAUAACUUUUAAUCAAUGCGUUUUUGCAGUGCAGCAAUGCAUUUUGUUUCUACACUAUGUUUACCAUUUUUAAAGCUAUUAUUAUAUUAUAUUAUAUUAUAUAGAUCCUAUAUUCUAAUUCUAUUUAGGCCUACUAUCAACUUAAUAUGUUAUCAAGUGUCAGGACAAGUUUAUAAUUUUAUGUACUAUGUAAACGCUGUGUAAUGUGUUUGAUGGGCGCGCGCGUUGAACAUUCGACGCGCAUUUAAACUGUGGAGGGAGUUACCAUGGAAACGGGGCGGCAGCUCAGCUGAGAAGUAGCAAAUCUCUCCGUCUCUCACUGUUGUUUUUACUGCUUUCAGAAAUGGUUCAGUGUCAUGGGAAUAAGUCCGUUAGCAUCACAACCGUGAGCUAACAGAGGCUAACUAUAAGAGCAGAGUUGGAGUGGACCUCUUGUUGAAGAACUUCUCCAGGCACUAUGAACCAUCUGACUAAUGCUGUCAUGAAACGCCAUGAAAAGGCAACUGCUGGACACCUGGGACAGGCCAUCAAUUCCAAGUUGGCGUCAAUUCCCUGUUAGAGUUUAGAGUCGUCUAAUAGAGAGGGUGAAGGAAGAACAUCCAAACCCUGCCCCUGCUUCCUUCAAGAUUUUUUAUGGAUUUAUAUAAUGGUGUUUUUUCGUAAAGUAAAGACAGUGGCAAAAUUAGCAUGACACUACUGGUUUGGAUGUUCUUCUUUCACCCUCUCUAUUAGACAACUCAUUGUUUUAAACACAGACUUUAUUUCAUUAAUUUAAAAAAAAAAAAACUUCUCUUCAAGAAUUAGUUUUCAGGUUUUAGCAUCAUCCUUUAGUAUUCAUAAUAGCAAUUUCAGUAAAGUUGCUGGUUUGAUUUAUGUUUUAAUUGUGCAGUUUAUGUGCACUCUGUUCUUUUGUCA